This 107-nucleotide small nuclear RNA is filed under the name Meriones unguiculatus (Mongolian gerbil). Lineage: Eukaryota; Metazoa; Chordata; Mammalia; Rodentia; Muridae. The record is from RNAcentral.
GUGCUUGAUUCUGCAGCACAUAUACUGAAAUUGGAACAAUACAGAGAAAAUUAGCAUGGCCCGUGCACAAGGAUGACAUGCAAAUUCAUGAAGCGUUCCAUAUUUUU